AACGGACGCUGGCGGCAUGCCUAACACAUGCAAGUCGAACGAGACCUUCGGGUCUAGUGGCGCACGGGUGCGUAACGCGUGGGGACCUGCCCUUAGGUUCGGAAUAACUCCCCGAAAGGGGUGCUAAUACCGGAUAAUGUCUUCGGACCAAAGAUUUAUCGCCUUUGGAUGGGCCCGCGUUGGAUUAGCUAGUUGGUAGGGUAAAAGCCUACCAAGGCGACGAUCCAUAGCUGGUCUGAGAGGAUGAUCAGCCACACUGGGACUGAGACACGGCCCAGACUCCUACGGGAGGCAGCAGUGGGGAAUAUUGGACAAUGGGCGAAAGCCUGAUCCAGCAAUGCCGCGUGAGUGAUGAAGGCCUUAGGGUUGUAAAGCUCUUUUACCCGGGAUGAUAAUGACAGUACCGGGAGAAUAAGCUCCGGCUAACUCCGUG
RNAcentral lists this ribosomal RNA (433 nucleotides) under uncultured bacterium. RNAcentral describes it as "partial 16S ribosomal RNA". It matches the Rfam family "Bacterial small subunit ribosomal RNA", at positions 29 to 507 of the family's 1533-position model. The record is from RNAcentral.